CCGGACCGGCGCACGGGUGAGUAACACGUAUGCAACCUGGCCGUCACAGGUGGAUAACCGGAAGAAAUUCCGACUAAUACAGCAUAACACUCCUGAGGGACAUCCUUCGGGAGUCAAAGGAGGCAACUCCGGUGACGGAUGGGCAUGCGGCGCAUUAGGUAGUUGGUAGGGUAACGGCCUACCAAGCCGACGAUGCAUAGGGGUUCUGAGAGGAAGGUCCCCCACAUUGGAACUGAGACACGGUCCAAACUCCUACGGAAGGCAGCAG
Molecule: ribosomal RNA, 268 nt
Filed under: uncultured bacterium
Lineage: Bacteria
Description: partial 16S ribosomal RNA
Rfam family: Bacterial small subunit ribosomal RNA
Source: RNAcentral